Molecule: ribosomal RNA, 500 nt
Filed under: uncultured bacterium
Lineage: Bacteria
Description: partial 16S ribosomal RNA
Rfam family: Bacterial small subunit ribosomal RNA
Source: RNAcentral
AUUGAACGCUGGCGGCAGGCUUAACACAUGCAAGUCGAGCGGAGAGAGGUAGCUUGCUACUGAUCUUAGCGGCGGACGGGUGAGUAAUGUAUCGGAACGUACCUUUCAGUGGGGGAUAACGUAGCGAAAGUUACGCUAAUACCGCAUAUUCUGUGAGCAGGAAAGCAGGGGAUCGCAAGACCUUGCGCUGAUUGAGCGGCCGAUAUCAGAUUAGCUAGUUGGUGAGGUAAAGGCUCACCAAGGCGACAAUCUGUAGCGGGUCUGAGAGGAUGAUCCGCCACACUGGAACUGAGACACGGUCCAGACUCCUACGGGAGGCAGCAGUGGGGAAUUUUGGACAAUGGGGGCAACCCUGAUCCAGCCAUGCUGCGUGAGUGAAGAAGGCCUUCGGGUUGUAAAGCUCUUUCGUCCGGGAAGAAAUCGCGUCAGCUACUACCUAGUGUGGAUGACGGUACCGGAAUAAGAAGCACCGGCUAACUACGUGCCAGCCGCCGCUGUAA